This 679-nucleotide small RNA is filed under the name Pongo abelii (Sumatran orangutan). RNAcentral's name for it is "retained intron". The record is from RNAcentral. Lineage: Eukaryota; Metazoa; Chordata; Mammalia; Primates; Hominidae.
GGUUUUAUAGUUGGGCUUCAGUGUGCUACUUUCUAGAUAAAAACAAGAACCAGUGCUUUUGUUUGAAAAUUUGCAGAAAUUUUAGAGAUACUACUACAGGUAUAUAGCUGUUUAAAAAAUUUUAUUGCCAAUUAGUUAAUCAUAUAUGGAUCUUUGUAAUGAUUGUUCUCAUUUUUGUUUUAGGUGGUCUUGGAGGCAUUGGGAUGGGACUUGGUCCAGGUGGACAGCCUAUUAGUGCCAGCCAGUUGAACAUAGGUGGAGUAAUGGGAAAUUUAGGUCCAGGUGGUAUGGGAAUGGAUGGUCCAGGUUUUGGAGGAAUGAAUAGAAUUGGAGGAGGAAUAGGGUUUGGUGGUCUGGAAGCAAUGAAUAGCAUGGGAGGAUUUGGAGGAGUUGGCCGAAUGGGAGAGCUGUACCGUGGUGCGAUGACUAGUAGCAUGGAGCGAGAUUUUGGACGUGGUGAUAUUGGAAUAAAUCGAGGCUUUGGAGAUUCCUUUGGUAGACUUGGUGGUGGAAUGGGUGGCAUGAACAGUGUGACUGGAGGAAUGGGGAUGGGACUGGACCGGAUGAGUUCCAGCUUUGAUAGAAUGGGACCAGGUAUAGGAGCUAUACUGGAAAGGAGCAUCGAUAUGGAUCGAGGAUUUUUAUCGGGUCCAAUGGGAAGCGGCAUGAGAGAGAGAAU